ACUUUGCCCAACUCCCAGUUCAUCUCGCUCCAAGGAACCGCCGCCCCUGCGCCCUUGCCCUCGUCUUCGCCGGCUGCUCGCCGCCCUGCCUCGACACGCGUUUGACCCUGCCUCACUCUCUGUGCCGUGCAACCUCCUGUUGCGCUCCCGCUGGCCUGCGACUUCCUCGCGCCGACUCCCUACGCGCUGCCCGGCCCUGCUUCGUUUCCCCAUCGAGACUCCCUCCGGCCACUGCCCUUCAUGUGCCCGGUGCCUCCCUCCGGCCGCCGUCCUCUGUGCCGGCGACGCUGUUCCUCGCGGAUGAAAAAGCAGGGUAGUUCCUCAUGGCGGCGACGUGGUUCCCCCUCGCCGCAGUUCCUGUGGCACAACGUCGUAUCCUUCUCUAGCGUCAUUGGCCUCUUGACUGAUAUGAGAUCGUUGCCCUCUUGGUGUUGAUGCACUGUAGCUGAUUUUGCCAAGGGAGAAGACAGGAAGCGGCAUCAGGAUGAGGGCAAGUUUCUGAUCUGUUUGAGGCUACAUGCACACAUGGACGGUGGAGACUGUUGCUGGGCCUAUGAGAUGAUGGACGCCAUCAACAAGGGGGUCUUGCUAUCCUGCAUCCAAUCCUAUAGGAAUUUAUUAAGUUGCCCUUCUUCAUGUACUUCAAGUUGAGCACUUUAGAAUUUUUUCCCAAUGUUGUAGACUUUGAUUUUGGCACAUUAGUGAAAGUUUAUGAUGUUGUGUUCCAAACGGAGAGAUAGAAUGGUUAGAAUAGAGUCAUGCGUGUUUGAUUGGAGAAUUUGAUGCUUGGUUAAGGAGUUUUGGAGUCUUUACUCUCUCUCUCUCUCUCUCUUAAGUGCUUCUGCCAUUUUAUAUAUGGAAGAUUGUCAUGACAAUUGUGUAUGUUUUUUUAGAAUUUUUUAACUAGAGCAGUUGAGUGUGAUUUUUUAGUUUUCUACUAUUCUAAGGUGAAUGUUUCUAACCUUAGGAUCAAACUUUUUCUGUACUUUACUGUUGUAAUAUUUGUCUUUUGAUUAGUAAUGAUUCUAAUGAACAGUAAUCGACCAUGCUGAUGCAAAUCAGGAAUGGAAAAUAGAUACAACAAAGUGGGAGAAUUUUAUCAGAAGAAAUCCUUCCUUAAUGAAGAUUUUCAGACCUCAAGAUGGAAUUAGGCAUCUAAAAGCACUUGUGCGGGAAAUAUCCACUGAAAUUAGGCAUCUAGAAGCUACUAUAUUAGUGUGUCUGUGCAAUAGAUUUUCUAUAAUUUCAACAUGUGUAUAGAUAAUAUUUUUUCAGAGCCCCACUCUUGAAGUUUAUUAACUGCUUAUGUCCUGGUUGUGUAAGCACCAAAAAUUUAGAUUUUGUAAGCAAAUGCAUAUGAAUGUCAGCAAAACAUUGCUUCUCAGCCUAUUUAACAAUUCAUGUUUUACUUUUAUUUUGAUUGAUAGCAAAACAUCGCUUCUCAGCCGGUUAAACAAUUCAUGUUUUAUUAUCCUCAUGGCAACAUAUGUUAUAACAUGCAUGUUUUUUUAGUUCCUGUUUUCCUAAUUCAAAGAAUGCAGCGAAAGAUUUUAAUCAUU
This is a long non-coding RNA of Sorghum bicolor (sorghum), 1559 nucleotides long. RefSeq lists it as uncharacterized. The transcript has 4 exons. The record is from RefSeq and is a predicted model, not a curated record. NCBI's taxonomy places the organism in Eukaryota, Viridiplantae, Streptophyta, Magnoliopsida, Poales, Poaceae.